AACGGAGCGAAAGCGACGUUCAACCGCAAAACAAGCAGAGGGGGCUUAGUGGUGGGGUGACUGCGUACCUUUUGUAUAAUGGGUCAGCGACUUAUAUUCUGUAGCAAGGUUAACCGUAUAGGGGAGCCGGAGGGAAACCGAGUCUUAACCGGGCGUUAAGUUGCAGGGUAUAGACCCGAAACCCGGUGAUCUAGCCAUGGGCAGGUUGAAGGUUGGGUAACACUAACUGGAGGACCGAACCGACUAAUGUUGAAAAAUUAGCGGAUGACCUGUGGCUGGGGGUGAAAGGCCAAUCAAACCGGGAGAUAGCUGGUUCUCCCCGAAAGCUAUUUAGGUAGCGCCUCGUGAAUUCAUCUCCGGGGGUAGAGCACUGUUUCGGCUAGGGGGCCAUCCCGGCUUACCAACCCGAUGCAAACUGCGAAUACCGGAGAAUGUUAUCACGGGAGACACACGGCGGGUGCUAACGUCCGUCGUGAAGAGGGAAACAACCCAGACCGCCAGCUAAGGUCCCAAAGUCAUGGUUAAGUGGGAAACGAUGUGGGAAGGCCCAGACAGCCAGGAUGUUGGCUUAGAAGCAGCCAUCAUUUAAAGAAAGCGUAAUAGCUCACUGGUCGAGUCGGCCUGCGCGGAAGAUGUAACGGGGCUAAACCAUGCACCGAAGCUGCGGCAGCGAACGUAUCACCCAAGACAACUUUACGGAGUUGACGAUUGACGGAGCGAAGCGACGUCAAAGCGUUCAUUAAAGUCGAGUUGGCUUAGGGAUACGUUCGUUGGGUAGGGGAGCGUUCUGUAAGCCUGUGAAGGUGUGUCGUGAGGCAUGCUGGAGGUAUCAGAAGUGCGAAUGCUGACAUAAGUAACGAUAAAGCGGGUGAAAAGCCCGCUCGCCGGAAGACCAAGGGUUCCUGUCCAACGUUAAUCGGGGCAGGGUGAGUCGACCCCUAAGGCGAGGCCGAAAGGCGUAGUCGAUGGGAAACGGGUUAAUAUUCCCGUACUUGGUGUUACUGCGAAGGGGGGACGGAGAAGGCUAUGUUGGCCGGGCGACGGUUGUCCCGGUUUAAGCGUGUAGGUGUGUGUUCCAGGUAAAUCCGGUUCACUUUAACACUGAGGCGUGACGACGAGGCACUACGGUGCUGAAGCAACAAAUGCCCUGCUUCCAGGAAAAGCCUCUAAGCAUCAGGUAACACGAAAUCGUACCCCAAACCGACACAGGUGGUCAGGUAGAGAAUACCAAGGCGCUUGAGAGAACUCGGGUGAAGGAACUAGGCAAAAUGGUGCCGUAACUUCGGGAGAAGGCACGCUGACACGUAGGUGAAGUGAUUUACUCAUGGAGCUGAAGUCAGUCGAAGAUACCAGCUGGCUGCAACUGUUUAUUAAAAACACAGCACUGUGCAAACACGAAAGUGGACGUAUACGGUGUGACGCCUGCCCGGUGCCGGAA
This 1438-nucleotide ribosomal RNA is filed under the name Salmonella enterica subsp. enterica serovar Typhimurium. Its description in RNAcentral is "partial 23S ribosomal RNA". It matches the Rfam family "Bacterial large subunit ribosomal RNA", at positions 532 to 1874 of the family's 2925-position model. Lineage: Bacteria; Pseudomonadati; Pseudomonadota; Gammaproteobacteria; Enterobacterales; Enterobacteriaceae. The record is from RNAcentral.